This 212-nucleotide ribosomal RNA is filed under the name uncultured bacterium. Its description in RNAcentral is "partial 16S ribosomal RNA". It matches the Rfam family "Bacterial small subunit ribosomal RNA", at positions 127 to 334 of the family's 1533-position model. The record is from RNAcentral.
CGCCUCUUAGCGGGGGGUAACUAUUGGAAACGAUAGCUAAUACCGCAUAAAAGUCGAUAUCGCAUGAUGUUGACUUGAAAGGUGCAAUUGCAUCACUAAGAGAUGGACCUGCGUUGUAUUAGCUAGUUGGUGAGGUAACGGCUCACCAAGGCGACGAUACAUAGCCGACCUGAGAGGGUGAUCGGCCACACUGGGACUGAGACACGGCCCAG